UGUAGUUUCAUUGGGGAUACACGACUUUUAGCAGCAAUGAGGAAGGAUGUAGGUGGUCUUGAGGGGUAAUGACUCACGAGAUAGGCGGGCGUUGCAUAUGCAUUCUCAGAGGCAUCAGAGAAUACAUGCGGGUCAGUCUCUUUCGGAUUUGGUUGGCGUAAGCAGCGAGGGAUCGUGAACUGCGAUAGCUCUGGAAGUUCCGAGAUCCACUUAUUUUAUUUCACUUGAAGUUGACUGGGUAACACCUCGUCCCAAC
Non-coding RNA from Paramuricea clavata, 256 nucleotides. The record is from the annotation of a GenBank genome assembly. Lineage: Eukaryota; Metazoa; Cnidaria; Anthozoa; Malacalcyonacea; Plexauridae.